CCUACGGGCGGCAGCAGUGGGGAAUAUUGGACAAUGGGCGAAAGCCUGAUCCAGCCAUGCCGCGUGUGUGAAGAAGGCCUUCGGGUUGUAAAGCACUUUCAGUGGGGAAGAAAGCCUUGGGGCUAAUACCCUCGAGGAAGGACAUCACCCACAGAAGAAGCACCGGCUAACUCCGUGCCAGCAGCCGCGGUAAUACGGCGGGUGCGAGCGUUAAUCGGAAUUACUGGGCGUAAAGCGCGCGUAGGCGGUCUGAUAAGCCGGUUGUGAAAGCCCCGGGCUCAACCUGGGAACGGCAUCCGGAACUGUCAGGCUAGAGUGCAGGAGAGGAAGGUAGAAUUCCCGGUGUAGCGGUGAAAUGCGUAGAGAUCGGGAGGAACACCAGUGGCGAAGGCGGCCUUCUGGACUGACACUGACGCUGAGGUGCGAAAGCGUGGGUAGCAAACAGGAUUAGAUACCCGAGUAGUC
This 465-nucleotide ribosomal RNA is filed under the name Vreelandella stevensii. RNAcentral's name for it is "partial 16S ribosomal RNA". It matches the Rfam family "Bacterial small subunit ribosomal RNA", at positions 338 to 795 of the family's 1533-position model. The record is from RNAcentral. Lineage: Bacteria; Pseudomonadati; Pseudomonadota; Gammaproteobacteria; Oceanospirillales; Halomonadaceae.